Molecule: long non-coding RNA, 1444 nt
Organism: Vitis vinifera (wine grape)
Lineage: Eukaryota; Viridiplantae; Streptophyta; Magnoliopsida; Vitales; Vitaceae
Exons: 2
Source: RefSeq, a predicted model, not a curated record
CAUAUUCUUUAUUUUCUCCCUUUUUCUCUCUGACUCACCCCUCAUAUCACUAUCGUGGCCCCCACGAUGCCCAACGACCAUCUUGCGCCGGCUACCCUCUUGUUUCUUUUUCGUUUUUCUUCUUCUCUCUUUCUUUCACUCUCUCUCUCUCCCUCAUCCCCAUGAUGGCUGCCCAUCUCACCACCGCUACCGAUGACGCUACUAUAGUGACACCAUUGCUGGCGAUGCCACCGUCGACUGACAGUCUCCUCCACUGUCGGCGACUGCCCCCCACUCCGGCCGUAUCUUCCAUGUCUCUAUAUUUCUCUCUCUUUUUUUUCUCCACCCCGACACUCAUUCUUUCUACUUUCAUUGUAGAGAUUUGCAUGAUUUGGGCUUACAUGUUAUUAGAUAUUGUUAUUAGGCUUAUUUGAAUUUCUUUUAUUUUUGUUUUUCUUGAUGUUUGGAUGGGUGUUUUGGCACUGUGCCGAGAGUGGAGAAACAUGGAAGCAGUUGGGGCAAGUGAAGAAGGGCAUGGGUUGAACUCACCACCGUACCCUCCUAAUAGGUAACCUGACCAGAUUCGACUUUGGUUUUUCAUAGUUUUUUUCAGAUAAGGAGUCACAGAGUUUUCUUUAUUAUUUUGUUUUUCCUUAAAAAAUAAAAUAAAAAUAAAUGGCGAAUACAAGUUUUUUUUCUAAAAAAUCAAAUUUUCACAAAAAAAAAAAAAAAAAAACUAGUCACCCAUCAAGUGAAAAAUUCAGGGUCCACAUACAAUUAACGUUUAUUAUUAAAAAAACUAAUUAAUAUUUAUUUUUAUUAAUCUUAAUAAAUAAAUUUAUUAUUUAACAUUCAUAUUUAAAGUAUUAUAAAUUUAUAAGAUAACCUUUAAAUAUUUACUAUAAAAAAAAUGAAUCAUUGGUUUGAACUCAGGCUAUUAAAUAUAUUAUUAUUAGAUGUGGCUAAACAUGAUAAAAAAAAGAAUAAUAAAUGAACUAUUUUGACUUAAUACUUAAAAUGAUUUUUAGCUAUAGGUUACGAUGUUAAGUUAUUUUAUCAAACAUAUUUAAUCUACUCAAUAAUUUAAACAUAUUUAAUUUAUUUGAAAACUUAAAUUACUUUAGGUCAUUCGAUUGAUUUACCAAAAUCAUCUACAUUUAUUUAGAAAGUCACAAUAUAUAUAUAUAUAUAUAUAUAUAAAUAAAGAUAGCAAUGCCAUAAAAAUUUGGUAUAUAAGGAUUCCGUAUUCAAGAACCUAAUUUUAACAUGACAAAUAAACAAGUGGAAAAAAUGCAAGAAAAUGGAACAUUAACAAUACGAAGAAGCACAAAUUAGCAUAAAUAUGAUUGAAAAAAAAGCAUUGGAACUUAUUUUGGAAGGAUUGUUAGCAAUUGACCCUUUGAGAUUUUGGAUAUUAAUUAAUGGGGUGCAAAUUGUUGCUUUAAAAUUUUUUUUAUUAGCUAAU